UGCUGUGCCCUCUGCACGCUCCCGUGACCUCACACUGCCUCUCCCGCCUCACACAGCGACACCCUCGCUGCCCUCUGUCGCUCCCUCCCUGCUUUCUUUCCUCCAGAACAAACUACAGCCUUUGGGGAAACCAGAGUUUGCUUGCGUCUUGUAUCAUCUUCCUCCCAGACAUUCUGGGCCAUUUUAAACAAAGGAAAGCCCCCAGGCCCUUGGAGAACUCACGUUUGGUCACAAGGAAGACAGACAAGAAACCAAGAAGUGACUCACAGGAAAGGGGAUUGAAAAUACUGGCAAGUACUUGGAAGGAAAGAACACGGGCGGUCAGAACAGGGACUGGGAGGGGUGGUCAGGGAGGGCUUCUUGGAGGAAGAGACAAUUGAGCAGAGACGUGAGGGAUGACGAUGUGUCAGUUACGAGAGGACCCCAAGGAAGAGUGUUCCAGGCAGUGGGAACAGGCAGUGAAAAGGCCCUGAGGUGGGAAAACUGAGGCACGGAGACACAAAGCCAUGGGCCAAGGUGGGCAGCCAGCAAAUGGCAGAGGACUCGAAGCCGGGCUCCCAGGACCAGCACCACGCAAUGGUUUAAGAGGAGGUUGGAUGAAGAGACAGUUGAUGGAGGAACAGGUCGCUUGAGGAGUGGAGGGUGGAAGGGUGGGGGAGGGAGGGACCAGUGGACGGACGGAAAGGACAGGUGAAAAUGGAUUGAUAUGUGGGUGGGCGGAUGGACCCACGGAGGGCUUAAGCGGAUGAGGCUCAGAAGCGAACGGCCC
Non-coding RNA from Oryctolagus cuniculus (rabbit), 769 nucleotides. NCBI's taxonomy places the organism in Eukaryota, Metazoa, Chordata, Mammalia, Lagomorpha, Leporidae. The record is from RefSeq and is a predicted model, not a curated record.